UACAGAGGUCUCAAGCGUUGUUCGGAUUCAUUGGGCGUAAAGGGUGCGUAGGCGGCGCGGCAAGUCGGGUGUGAAAUCUCGGGGCUUAACUCCGAAACUGCAUUCGAUACUGCCGUGCUUGAGGACUGGAGAGGAGACUGGAAUUUACGGUGUAGCGGUGAAAUGCGUAGAUAUCGUAAGGAAGACCAGUGGCGAAGGCGGGUCUCUGGGACGGUACUGACGCUGAGACGCGAAAGCGUGGGGAGCGAACAGG
Molecule: ribosomal RNA, 253 nt
Filed under: uncultured bacterium
Lineage: Bacteria
Description: partial 16S ribosomal RNA
Rfam family: Bacterial small subunit ribosomal RNA
Source: RNAcentral